UACGUAGGGGGCCAGCGUUGCUCGGAAUUACUGGGCGUAAAGGGUUCGUAGGUGGUGCGGCAAGUUGGAAGUGAAAUCUCUGGGCUUAACCCAGAGGCUGCUUCCAAAACUGCUGUGCUUGAGUGUGAGAGAGGCGCGUGGAAUUGCAGGUGUAGCGGUGGAAUGCGUAGAGAUCCGAUAGAAGACCGGUGGCGAAGGCGGCCUGCUGGGCAGUAACUGACACUGAGGCGCGACAGCGUGGGGAGCAAACAGG
This 253-nucleotide ribosomal RNA is filed under the name uncultured prokaryote. RNAcentral's name for it is "partial 16S ribosomal RNA". It matches the Rfam family "Bacterial small subunit ribosomal RNA", at positions 524 to 776 of the family's 1533-position model. The record is from RNAcentral.